CUACGACGGGUACGGGUUGUGAGAGCAAGAGCCCGGAGAUGGAUUCUGAGACACGAAUCCAGGCCCUACGGGGUGCAGCAGGCGCGAAAACUUUACAAUGCUGGCAACAGCGAUAAGGGAACCUCGAGUGCCAGGUUACAAAUCUGGCUGUCGAGAUGCCUAAAAAGCAUUUCAUAGCAAGGGCCGGGCAAGACCGGUGCCAGCCGCCGCGGUAACACCGGCGGCUCGAGUGGUAACCGUUAUUAUUGGGUCUAAAGGGUCUGUAGCCGGCCGGAUAAGUCUCUUGAGAAAUCUGGCAGCUUAACUGUCAGGCUUUCAGGAGAUACUGUCUGGCUCGAGGCCGGGAGAGGUGAGAGGUACUUCAGGGGUAGGGGUGAAAUCUUGUAAUCCUUGAAGGACCACCAGUGGCGAAGGCGUCUCACCAGAACGGACCUGACGGCAAGGGACGAAAGCUAGGGGCACGAACCGGAUUAGAUACCCGGGUAGUCCUAGCCGUAAACGAUACUCGCUAGGUGUCGGCCACGGUGCGACCGUUGUCGGUGCCGUAGGGAAGCCG
RNAcentral lists this ribosomal RNA (556 nucleotides) under uncultured archaeon. RNAcentral describes it as "bacterial SSU rRNA". It matches the Rfam family "Archaeal small subunit ribosomal RNA", at positions 258 to 814 of the family's 1478-position model. The record is from RNAcentral.